Pleurotus pulmonarius is the source of this 87-nucleotide non-coding RNA. NCBI's taxonomy places the organism in Eukaryota, Fungi, Basidiomycota, Agaricomycetes, Agaricales, Pleurotaceae. The record is from the annotation of a GenBank genome assembly.
GGGCACAUGGUGUAGUUGGUUUAUCACGCCCGCUUAGCACGAGUUAGUGAUUGCGGGAGGUGUUGGGUUCAAUUCCCAAUGUGUCCA